AGCAAACUUCAGCCCUCCCUCCAGAGACUUCAACUCCCAGUAUCCACCAGCUAGUGUGGCUAGAGGCAAGGGGAUUUGGGGAGUUGUAGUCCACAGGGUAAGCUUUCCGGCAGGGGGCGCCUUCCACUGAGCCUGUGCCUUUUCUAUUGAAAGAGACCUGUGGCUUCUCUGGAGAGGAAGAAGAUGAGGCGUGCUUUGAGCGCCCCCUGGGGGCAGAAAGCCCUGCUUCUUGGCAGCUGAGGAAUUUCGUUUUCUUCUGGAGCCAUGAUCAUGCACAAGGAGUUACACUGAUGGUCAAAGGAGCAAAUAUCCUUUUGUUGAGAAUUCCAACCCCUCAGCCUUUGAGACAUCAACAAACUUCGCUCAUAUAUCCAGGUUAUCUACCCAUAUCAAUAAAAGAAUAACUAUCUAA
Non-coding RNA from Anolis sagrei ordinatus, 412 nucleotides. The record is from RefSeq and is a predicted model, not a curated record. NCBI's taxonomy places the organism in Eukaryota, Metazoa, Chordata, Lepidosauria, Squamata, Anolidae.